RNAcentral lists this ribosomal RNA (242 nucleotides) under uncultured bacterium. Its description in RNAcentral is "partial 16S ribosomal RNA". It matches the Rfam family "Bacterial small subunit ribosomal RNA", at positions 535 to 776 of the family's 1533-position model. The record is from RNAcentral.
CUAGCGUUGUUCGGAAUUACUGGGCGUAAAGCGUGCGCAGGCGGCUAUGCAAGACAGAUGUGAAAUCCCCGGGCUCAACCUGGGAACUGCAUUUGUGACUGCAUGGCUGGAGUACGGCAGAGGGGGAUGGAAUUCCGCGUGUAGCAGUGAAAUGCGUAGAUAUGCGGAGGAACACCGAUGGCGAAGGCAAUCCCCUGGGCCUGUACUGACGCUCAUGCACGAAAGCGUGGGGAGCAAACAGG